CAUGGGUUAGUCGAUCCUA
RNAcentral lists this small nuclear RNA (19 nucleotides) under Arabidopsis thaliana (thale cress). Its description in RNAcentral is "snRNA_12704". Lineage: Eukaryota; Viridiplantae; Streptophyta; Magnoliopsida; Brassicales; Brassicaceae. The record is from RNAcentral.